Medicago truncatula (barrel medic) is the source of this 1836-nucleotide long non-coding RNA. RefSeq lists it as uncharacterized. The transcript is spliced from 7 exons. The record is from RefSeq and is a predicted model, not a curated record. Lineage: Eukaryota; Viridiplantae; Streptophyta; Magnoliopsida; Fabales; Fabaceae.
ACGUUUUUACUCUCUCAUAAAUAAAGGGCUUCACACUGCUCAUUAUCCUUCGCAAGUUUUAUUCCUUCCUUCAUUCCACCAUCAAACCCUAAACCCAUCUUCUUGGAAGCAUAUACAUUUUUCACUUUUUCAUCAGAUCUGUUUCCUCAAUCACUUCUCUCUUAUCUCUAAUCAACACUCGAUGCACCUUAUGGAAUCGGAUGUUACCGUUAUCAUUACUCAUAUUUAUCUUAUUCCUACGACCGUGAUUUCCUUGAUUAAAUCAACAUAUACAUGUACUGAUAUCUUCACACCCACCAUCUAUCAACUUCAACUUGCUACAAAUCUUCAUAUCUUCAUCCUCAGAAGAUAAAUCAAUGCCUUAAUAGUGGGAUUGCUACUAAAUGAUCCAAAAGACACCGAAGCAUUUGUAAAAAGAGUUCAAUUACCAGAUGAUCAUUUAAUGGCAGCUCAUAAAUAUGGGUUGUUAUUGAAUGUUAACAAAUAUGACGUUAAGGCAUUAAUAGUGGGAUUGCCACUAAAUGAUCAAAUGAUACCAUGACAUUCGAAAAAAAAUAUCUAUUACCAUCUGAUUAUUUAAUGGCAUCCCAUAAAUAUGGGUCGUUAUUGAAUGUUAGCAAAGUUCCUCAAUCACUUACUAUUCUUGCCAAGACAUGGUGCUACGAAGAGAGACUCAACUAACGUAUUAACUUACUAUUCUUGCUACGAAGCAUUUAUUAAAGCAGUUAAAUUAGGAAGUGAGCCACUCAAAGAUGGAUUUAACACCAGGACAGCCUAACAAAGUUCUACCAGAUCUGUUUCCGCAGUCUCUUAAUCGAUGAAGCCCGAUCAUCGGAUACUAUCGUUCAUCAUUAGUCUAUUAGUUUAUUACCAACUGUGAUUUCCUUGAUUAAAUCAGUGAUAUUGGCAAUGAUCGAUCUUGGCAAUGAUCGAUCUGAUGAAGAUGCGUUUAAGAUUCGUUUUUCAAGCAUUGGUUAAGCGUGUUGUGAAUCAAACUUAUGGAUGGAUUUUAAUGACUCAUGGCGUAGACAUUAUUGAGCAAAUUGGAUGAUGAUGUGUGCACUGCUUCAGGUAGAACUGUGUCAACAGAAUGUGGAUUUCAUGAACCAACACAAGUAAUUCUUGAUUACCUCAUUGAAGACAAUAAGUUAGGAUGAUGAUCGUAGGCAAAUAUGUGAGUGGAGUUGAAAAAGCUGACAAGAAAAUUAAAGAGGUUAUUCCAUCAUAUGCUCCUAAUAUUCAUUGUGAAAGCGACCUAACAGUGAUCAGUUCUGAGUCUGAUGACUGUGAGGAUUCAGAUUGUAAUCAUGUAGAUUCAGAUUGUAAUGAGGAGGAGUCCAUUGAUUCAUACAGUGAUGAUUCUGGAAAGCAGUGACUUCGACCCACGUGAAGAAAAUGCAUAUUUUGGCGGGGAACUUAAGGUCACCAAAGCUGUUGCAAGAGGACAUAAUGUUCUGCUCUCAUCAUUCUUUCUGAAUCUGCUAAAUUCGAGAUAAAGAUUGUUUAGAAGCGUGAAGAAGGCAGAAGGUGCCUUUUGGAGCGGUUCUUUACGUGCUAUCAGAUAUGUAGGAAAAAAGGAGAGAAAUUCUUCAUAUUCAGUUCACUUGUGCAGGUGAAAAAUACUCAUAGUCUAGGUGACUAGAAUAUAACAUGAGCAACCCUUAUCUGUAGGUCUUGAUAUUGUAUUAUUCUAAUUUGUAUUCAAUAUGUAUUGUUAAUUCUGUCACUCUCAAUGAGUGGUUGUUUGGAUAGAAUGUAUAUAAAUACUUACACAACUAAUGUGUCUUUGGAUUGACGGUAAGUUCGAUUGUCGGUGAAUUUGACAAAAUUGAGAUA